GUACGGAGAGUUUUGAGUUCUUUGGUGCAGGCUCGUUACCUGUCUUUCUAGUU
This 53-nucleotide transfer RNA is filed under the name Brachymeles apus. RNAcentral describes it as "partial tRNA-Glx". Lineage: Eukaryota; Metazoa; Chordata; Lepidosauria; Squamata; Scincidae. The record is from RNAcentral.